This is a long non-coding RNA of Phycodurus eques (leafy seadragon), 909 nucleotides long. RefSeq lists it as uncharacterized. The transcript is spliced from 3 exons. Lineage: Eukaryota; Metazoa; Chordata; Actinopteri; Syngnathiformes; Syngnathidae. The record is from RefSeq and is a predicted model, not a curated record.
UUUCCGUAACAAGAAACAAAGCAACAACAAUGGCGACCGUGGAUCAGUGUCUACUAGAACAAAUGGACCUAGAUGACCAGAUGAUACGUUUAAUUAUGCUGCAAAAUCGAUCAAGAAGGCGGCGGCGGUGGUUUGUGGAACCGAGAGUAGCACUGUGUCAGCAAGGGUAAAUUAAAAAGGGAUUUGAAUUCUGGCUGACAUGCUGCAAACCAGUGCUUGCGUCUGCAGUGUCUGGGCGGGCCGGGCUACAGACUGAACUCUGGCAAUCGCUCCUCCUUAUUGCCAAGAGGAUGAGGUAAGAGGAAAUGGAAAAGGAGCGGAGGAAAUGAGCAAGUCAUGGAAGAAUAUCUCAUCAAAUCAAAUCCUCCACAUCCACCAAACCCCCACCCCCCCCAUGAUACGCUUUUUAUGACGAGCAUGAUUCCUUGCUUGAAAGGACUGCCACCUGAGAGAAAUGAAUAUAAUAUGUUAAAUUUCAAUUUCACAAAUUACUUUUUGAACAGAGCACGUUUACUCUAUAUUUGAAACAUUGGGAUCAAUAAAUGUCCAGGUCUCAGUCUUUUCCUGGAAGGAAUCGUGAAUCAUUUUAUUGAUUUUAGAAUCAGCUUUUUUCUGUGUUUUUUAAAAUGGAAUAAAUCCACUUUUACUUUAAUUUUUUGUCUUUUACCUUUUUUGGACAAAAAUACAGUUAAAACUUACAUACACAACCUUGUUCCUUACGUUAUGUCAUGGUGUCAGAUUUAUGUCGAAAUUUUUCUGCAGUGCAUAAAAACGUUAGGUUUGGUUACCUGCUAAAUGCAGUCCAACAGUUUUAUACAGUAUUGCUAUUCCAAAAGUGAAGCUUUGUUGCCUAACAAUACAAUAUAAUCAAUAAAAUACAAAAUAUCCAUCCAUUCUCAACACCACUUA